RNAcentral lists this long non-coding RNA (3703 nucleotides) under Setaria italica (foxtail millet). Its description in RNAcentral is "long non-coding RNA (SITA_LNC004870)". The record is from RNAcentral. Lineage: Eukaryota; Viridiplantae; Streptophyta; Magnoliopsida; Poales; Poaceae.
UUAUAGAGGAACAAAGCAACAACAGAAAUGUCAACCAACUCUAGAAGUACAAUAGAGAAGUAUUUCUUGCCUAGUUUAGGGUAAACAGAUGCUUACAAUCUCUGAGAAACAUCUGUCCUUAGAACAGAAAUCUCAUUCACGAGAGAGGUGAUUUGCUUCUCUUUAGACUCAAUCGCACUGGCAGCUUCUUCACACUUUAUCAGAUAGCUCUUCUCCAUGUAAGAUAACUUAUCCCUCAAUUUAGCAAUCUCAUCUUCCAAGGCUUCCCUGCCAACCUCGGCCUACACAUGAAAACUACAAAAGUCAAUGUGCAUAUAAAUAAAGAUACAGAGGCUUCACUGUAACGUAUAUAAAAUGUUGAUACCUCUGCCUUGUAGUCCUGAUGGGCAGAUUCCAAUUGCUUUAACGCAACUUCAUUGGAGUCCGCAAUUUCUUUGUACUGUACAAGAGUUAAUGUUGGGUGAUUCAGAAGAGUCAGGAUUCAGGAGAUCAAUGCAUUGUGAACUGAUUGCAAAAUUGCACUGGGACUUCUCUUAUAACUUCUGGAUAAAUGAGCCUAUCAGAUUCUAAAUUCUGAAGAACAAAGCAAUCAGGUUGCUAACAGGAAAAACAAAAAGGAAAUGGAGAGUAUCAUUUUACCAUGAUUCCAAAGCAAAGUAAUAUGGUAAAAGGUGGUUUCAAGGUUUCCUUUACUUUCUCAGUGCAUAUAAACAUGUCUAAAUCUAGGUAAGUAUGAUCUUAUGAAAAUUAACGCAGUCAGAGAUAGGCACCUGAACCAUGUAGUUCCUAUUUGCUUGUGCUUCCUCCUUGUACUUUUCUAACUGCUCUUUCAACUGGAAUAGCUCAUCAUUCUCCUAUGGGAAAAAACACACCGUCAUGUAUCAAGCUAUCACCAAGUUCAUACAGAAUGAGCUUCAUACAGGAGAUAGGGUAGGGGUGAGAGCAUAUAACUUUCUCUGCAAUGAUUCAGGGAUGCUCGAAAAGAAAGUAUGAAAAGACAAGGAUAUUAAAAGUCAUUCAGAUGAAAACAUCAGUACCAUAGUCCUUAGCAAUAUCCCACACCAAAUACAAAUUUAGAUACAUGGUUAUUUGAGUACAGCAAAAAUUAACUCAUAGACGCAACAAAAAUAACUCACCUCAGAUGUGGCUGGGAUGUCACGGCCAGUGUCCCUAAAAGUGACCUGGUAGAACAACAGCACAAUUAGGAGCCUACAUGAUUAUGAUCUAUCCAGCACAGCAUAUAAUCAGAUUUCAAAAUUAUGUGAGGUAAAAACAGGCCAUUUUUUAAAAUUUGGCCAUGAACAACGGACAUAAUGUACUCCUUCGCCUACCAAAUAGAUAACAUUUUUUACUAUGGUGCAAGUAUGUUUUUUUGGCAAACUGGCAGGAGACCUGAUGUGGGACAAUUAAUUUUUAAAAUAAUAUGUUGCUAAAAAGAUAAAAUCAUACGAAUAUAAUUCUGAUGGAAAUCAACUAGUGUUUGUUUAGAAACAUUCACGAAGAGGAAUGCAUCAGUAACGACACUCCAAAAACUAAACCUGGUUCUGUCAAUGCUAGCUCCAAAAACAUCCAGGUACCCUACAAGGACUGCAGCAGCAUACUGUUGCAGCUAAUCAGUUUAAUAUUUAAUUAUUAUAAUUAUUAUUAUAGAUCUCACUUUUAACUGAAUAAAAAUGGUGCUUUUACAGGAGUAAGAUCCUCACAAACGCAUGCACUUUGGUCACUGCUACAGAGCUAACAUUUUAUAUAGCCAGUUCACUAAAGGGGUGUUUGGAUACACCCCCCUAAACUUUAGUACCUGUCACAUCGGAUGUUUGGAUACUAAUUAGGAGUAUUAAAUAUAGUCUAAUUACAAAACUAAUUGCACAAAUGGAGUCUAAUUCGCGAGACGAAUCUAUUAAGCCUAAUUAGUCCAUGAUUUGACAAUGUGGUGCUACAGUAACCAUUUGCUAAUGAUGCAUUAAUUAGGCUUAAUAGAUUCGUCUCGCGAAUUAUUAUAGGGGUUCUGCAGUUAGUUUUAUAAUUAGCUCAUGUUUAGUCCUUCUAAUUAGUGUCCGAACAUCCGAUGUGACCCUCCUAAAGUUGAGUACGUUGUAUCCAAACAGCCAUUAAAAAAAGCUCAGAUAUGUUGAAAACUAUGAAGACUAUCAGUGCCAAAAAUACAAACCUUCCUUGAUUUCAGCUUUGCCUCUAAAUCAGAACAUUUGGCCUGCAGAAAGAAAAAGGAAACAAUUACUACCACAAUCUCGUAUAUAAUGCCAUCAGUCUAGCAACAAUAAAAAGAUUUCAACAAACCUCUGCAAUGGCAGCCCUUGAUUCAGCAUCAGAAGCAGCUUUCAACGAGCUCUGCAGCCCCUUUCUCAUAUCCUCCACCUGUUUCAUACAGCUGUCAAACAUAUUUUUCUGAUCAAGGUUCAGAACACGGACAAGGUCUCCCUGCUCCUGAAGCUCCUUAAGCUCAGCCCAAUCCCUCUGCAGAUUGAUUCAGAUUGUGAAUAAUAAGAAAAAUGUAUAACCCAUGCUUGAACACAAGAUAAGUGGUCUUAAAUAUUUAACCCUCAAAAAAGAUAAACACAAAACAGAACAGUAGUGACAAAGCAGAUGGAAGAAUCAUGAAUCAAUCAUGCAUAUUCAAUAAUCUUUACUACUUCAAAAUCGGAAUUGGUGGUGGUGGAGGCUGGUGAUAGGUUGCACACUUGUGUUACCUCCACCUUGGAGGACCUUCUUUGGGAAAUUCUUUGUAUUCAUGUAACCAUGUGUAUGUAACAAAGAGGGUCUAUAUAUGGAAUUUGUGGAUUGAAGACUUAAAGUUCCAUAGCUAGAUAAAUGGGAGUUAGUAAAGAAUUACCUUUUUUCUGAACACUGUAAAGAAUUACUAGGUUAGUAGAUCUAAGACAUGUCAUUUAUUUCAAAAUCAUGGCAACCCACAGGUCGGUUUAGUGGCACCUAGUACAUGACUAUAGUUCCAAAUGCAUUAUUCUAAUUUGGGUGUGCAUCAGUCAUUAUUAUCAAGGUAGCUGGUUAUAAAUGAUUAGCAACAUAAAUGAGUAAUUCGGUUAAAUUGCUUAAACUUAAGUACCAAAUGAUCAUAUAAAACCAUAAGCAGUAAGAAUCUAUGAUCAGUAAAAAAAUUCUACCACGGAUGAACAAUGGGGGCCUUCCCUCAUUCUCCAGCCAUGAAAUAUGGUGCCUACGAAAAAUGGUUCACAUGGAUAUAAGUAAAGAAAAGUACCUGCCGUUCAUAAUUUUCUUCGGCGGAUCGCCAACGCUUGUACUGCUCAUCUAGUGCACUCUUUGAGGAAGCCAAUUCCAUUUCUAAUUUUUCUACCUGUGGUCUGUUAUAGAGGAACAAAGCAACAACAGAAAUGUCAACCAACUCUAGAAGUACAAUAGAGAAGUAUUUCUUGCCUAGUUUAGGGUAAACAGAUGCUUACAAUCUCUGAGAAACAUCUGUCCUUAGAACAGAAAUCUCAUUCACGAGAGAGGUGAUUUGCUUCUCUUUAGACUCAAUCGCACUGGCAGCUUCUUCACACUUUAUCAGAUAGCUCUUCUCCAUGUAAGAUAACUUAUCCCUCAAUUUAGCAAUCUCAUCUUCCAAGGCUUCCCUGCCAACCUCGGCCUACACAUGAAAACUACAAAAGUCAAUGUGCAUAUAAAUAAAGAUACAGAGGCUUCACUGUAACGUAUAUAAAAUGUUGAUACC